AUGUUUAUCUAGACGGGGUCAAUGAGUGAUCAUUAAGGUCGAUGGCCUAGGUUGAUGACCUCCAUUGCACACUUUGGUGGGGGCGCAUGCCUAAAGUCAGCCCAAGUUGCUGAGCCUACGUCAUAAAUCUUUGGGC
Molecule: small nuclear RNA, 136 nt
Filed under: Solanum tuberosum (potato)
Lineage: Eukaryota; Viridiplantae; Streptophyta; Magnoliopsida; Solanales; Solanaceae
Description: snRNA U1
Rfam family: U1 spliceosomal RNA
About the family: U1 is a small nuclear RNA (snRNA) component of the spliceosome (involved in pre-mRNA splicing). Its 5' end forms complementary base pairs with the 5' splice junction, thus defining the 5' donor site of an intron.
Source: RNAcentral